This 304-nucleotide RNase P RNA is filed under the name Nitrososphaerota archaeon. Its description in RNAcentral is "RNase P RNA component". It matches the Rfam family "Archaeal RNase P". Rfam says of the family: Ribonuclease P (RNase P) is a ubiquitous endoribonuclease, found in archaea, bacteria and eukarya as well as chloroplasts and mitochondria. Its best characterised activity is the generation of mature 5'-ends of tRNAs by cleaving the 5'-leader elements of precursor-tRNAs. Cellular RNase Ps are ribonucleoproteins. The record is from RNAcentral. RNAcentral also lists the same sequence under 1 other name. Lineage: Archaea; Thermoproteati; Nitrososphaerota.
GCGAGCGGCUGGGCGGGCCACGGGGCGCUCCCGAGGAAGUUCCUCCCCCCAACCGGCGCAGCCAGCCACCGCGAGGUGGGCGGGGAGACCCGCGGCAACGCCACAGAAACGAGACCCCUCCACCACAGAUGAGCGUGAACCGCCAACACCCCCAAGGCGGCGACGAGCGGUGGAGAAUGGAUGAAACGGGCGACCCUGGCGGGGAAAGGCACGCAGGGCCUUUGAGAGGCGUCGGCGAGGCCCAAGCGAAGACCCGAGAAGACCAAUCCCGCCUAAAACGGAAGGAGGACUAUGGGCCGCACGC